This 399-nucleotide unclassified non-coding RNA is filed under the name soil metagenome. RNAcentral describes it as "partial contains 5.8S ribosomal RNA, internal transcribed spacer 2, and large subunit ribosomal RNA". The stretch from base 1 to 121 matches the Rfam family "5.8S ribosomal RNA", at positions 36 to 154 of the family's 154-position model. The record is from RNAcentral.
AUGAAGAACGCAGCGAAAUGCGAUACUUGGUGUGAAUUGCAGAAUCCCGUGAACCAUCGAGUCUUUGAACGCAAGUUGCGCCUCAAGCCAUUAGGUUGAGGGCACGUCUGCCUGGGCGUCACAUAUCGUUGCCUGAUGCCAGUUUCCUCGUGAUGGGUGACUGUGCAGGGCGAAUGAUGGCUUCCCGUGAGCAUUGUUGCCUCAUGGUUGGUUGAAAAUUGAGUCCUUGGUAGGGCGCGCCGUGAUAGAUGGUGGUUGAGUGACGAACGAGACCCAAUCAUGUGAGACCCCUACCGAAUUUGGCCUUCAUGACCCACAUGCGUCUUUGGAACGCUCAUGACGAGACCUCAGGUCAGGCGGGGCUACCCGCUGAGUUUAAGCAUAUCAAUAAGCGGAGGA